CCUACGGGGGGCUGCAAUUAGGAAUCUUGCGCAAUGGGCGAAAGCCUGACGCAGCGACGUCGCGUGACUGAUGAAGUCUUUCGGGAUGUAAAGGUCUUUUCUGGGGGAAGAAGGAUGUGACGGUACCCCAGGAAUAAGCCCCGGCUAACUACGUGCCAGCAGCCGCGGUAAUACGUAGGGGGCGAGCGUUGUCCGAAUUCACUGGGCGUAAAGCGCGCGUAGGCGGGUUUUUAAGUUGUGGGUGAAAUCCCGAGGCUCAACCUCGGAACGGCCUGCAAAACUGGAAGCCUUGAGGUAUGGAGAGGGAAGUGGAAUUCCAGGUGUAGCGGUGAAAUGCGUAGAUAUCUGGAGGAACACCCGUGGCGAAGGCGGCUUCCUGGCCAUAUCCUGACGCUGAGGUGCGAAAGCUAGGGGAGCGAACG
Molecule: ribosomal RNA, 422 nt
Filed under: uncultured prokaryote
Description: bacterial SSU rRNA
Rfam family: Bacterial small subunit ribosomal RNA
Source: RNAcentral